This 253-nucleotide ribosomal RNA is filed under the name uncultured bacterium. RNAcentral describes it as "partial 16S ribosomal RNA". It matches the Rfam family "Bacterial small subunit ribosomal RNA", at positions 524 to 776 of the family's 1533-position model. The record is from RNAcentral.
UACGAAGGGGGCUAGCGUUGCUCGGAAUUACUGGGCGUAAAGGGCGCGUAGGCGGCCUUCUAAGUCAGACGUGAAAUCCCUCGGCUCAACCCGGGAACUGCGUCCGAUACUGGAAGGCUUGAAUCCGGGAGAGGGAUGUGGAAUUCCAGGUGUAGCGGUGAAAUGCGUAGAUAUCUGGAGGAACACCGGUGGCGAAGGCGACAUCCUGGACCGGUAUUGACGCUGAGGCGCGAAAGCCAGGGGAGCAAACGGG